GAUGCACAUGAGGAUGUGCCAGAGGUGACUACUACUAAUAACAUACCAUCAUUUCUUGGAUAUUCUUGUAUUGGUAGUACGGGAACGUUGCAGGCCACAUUGGUGGUGAGCGACGAAGAAAUGCUUCCCUUAAAGAUACAAAAGGUUCCAGGUACUUUAAAUUAUUAUUAUAUAUACUCUAAUUGUAAUUUACUUUAUGAUCACUCAUUUUGGACUAAUGAUCCCAUGAAUUUUUUGCAGGCAAUGAUAUUUUCUAUAAACAUCUUAGUGACAUUGCAUUGCAGAUAUUUGGGCCCACCAUACGUAAAAGUGGUGGAAUGACCAAGAAAAAAGGUUAAAAGAUGAAUUGACAAACCAAAUGGUUGAGUGGUUUGGAAAUGACACCUUUGACAAAACCAAGCUCCUUGAAAAAGCUAGCACAUAUCUAAAGUAUGUGAGGGACCAAUAUAGGACCCAUUUGGAGAGGAACCUAAAGUAUGAGCGUCCCCCCAUGAUUCUAGAGAGGGAGUGGAAGGACCUGAUUUUGGAUGCCAAGGAGAGAAUUGAAAGGAAAAAAGGAAAUACACCACUAGACUCCAGAAGAAGACUGAGUGACACAUCAAAGGAAACCAAGGCAAGGCAAGAAAAGCACGGGCAACACAAACUCGGCUCUGGUGGUUACAUGAAACUUGCUUCACGAAUUGUAAGUAUCUCAUGUAAAAGAAAUAUUGCAUCAAAAUAUUAAUAAAUUGCAAAUGUUUUUUUUUUAUCAAACAAUGCAAGCAAAAUUCACGGUACCAAGCAAAAAUGCAAGGCUCUAAAUUCAAUAGAGCACCCACAAAAGAUGACAAGAGAAUUGCCUACCAGCAAGGCUAUUCAGCCAUGGCUGAUCGGCUACGAGAAUUGAGUGGGCAUACACAACAUUCAAGUGCAUCCGUC
This is a long non-coding RNA of Cryptomeria japonica (Japanese cedar), 918 nucleotides long. RefSeq lists it as uncharacterized. The transcript is spliced from 3 exons. NCBI's taxonomy places the organism in Eukaryota, Viridiplantae, Streptophyta, Pinopsida, Cupressales, Cupressaceae. The record is from RefSeq and is a predicted model, not a curated record.